UCGUAGCCUAGAUUUGAUUUU
RNAcentral lists this non-coding RNA (21 nucleotides) under Sclerotinia trifoliorum. Lineage: Eukaryota; Fungi; Ascomycota; Leotiomycetes; Helotiales; Sclerotiniaceae. The record is from RNAcentral.